RNAcentral lists this transfer RNA (74 nucleotides) under Candidatus Nealsonbacteria bacterium CG_4_10_14_0_2_um_filter_40_15. RNAcentral's name for it is "tRNA-Trp". It matches the Rfam family "tRNA". Rfam says of the family: Transfer RNA (tRNA) molecules are approximately 80 nucleotides in length. Their secondary structure includes four short double-helical elements and three loops (D, anti-codon, and T loops). Further hydrogen bonds mediate the characteristic L-shaped molecular structure. tRNAs have two regions of fundamental functional importance: the anti-codon, which is responsible for specific mRNA codon recognition, and the 3' end, to which the tRNAs corresponding amino acid is attached (by aminoacyl-tRNA synthetases). tRNAs cope with the degeneracy of the genetic code in two manners: having more than one tRNA (with a specific anti-codon) for a particular amino acid; and 'wobble' base-pairing, i.e. permitting non-standard base-pairing at the 3rd anti-codon position. The record is from RNAcentral. Lineage: Bacteria; Candidatus Nealsoniibacteriota.
GGGGGCUUGGUUCAGUGGUAGAACAACGGUCUCCAAAACCGUUGACGGGGGUUCGAUUCCCUCAGCCCCUGCAA